Molecule: ribosomal RNA, 254 nt
Filed under: uncultured bacterium
Lineage: Bacteria
Description: partial 16S ribosomal RNA
Rfam family: Bacterial small subunit ribosomal RNA
Source: RNAcentral
CACGUAGGGUGCGAGCGUUGUCCGGAAUUAUUGGGCGUAAAGAGCUCGUAGGCGGUGUGUCGCGUCGGCCGUGAAAACCUGCAGCUUAACUGUGGGCGUGCGGUCGAUACGGGCAUCACUGGAGUUCGGCAGGGGAGACUGGAAUUCCUGGUGUAGCGGUGAAAUGCGCAGAUAUCAGGAGGAACACCGGUGGCGAAGGCGGGUCUCUGGGCAGUAACUGACGCUGAGGAGCGAAAGCGUGGGGAGCGAACAGG